This is a long non-coding RNA of Biomphalaria glabrata, 3525 nucleotides long. RefSeq lists it as uncharacterized. NCBI's taxonomy places the organism in Eukaryota, Metazoa, Mollusca, Gastropoda, Planorbidae. The transcript is spliced from 11 exons. The record is from RefSeq and is a predicted model, not a curated record.
UUCAAGAUGUUGAGUAUUGAUUACUAAUCAACUACUAGCCUGGAAGAUAAAAGCCAAAGCUGUAAACAGACAGGUCAGUACCAAUUUGUCAUCCAAGCAACAAAUAUUCCUUGGUAAUCUGCUAUCAGAUGACAGUUAUCUCUUUGGCAUUUUUAUGAAUUAAAGCUUUCAAAGCCAAAGUAAGACUUAAUUUUUUCUUUUCUUUAACUGCUAAUUCUAAAAUAAUUUAUCAUUGCAUGUUAAAAAUAACUUGUUAUACAUUUUUCUGUGUUUUUGGUCAAGCUUCAGAUUUGCUUAGCAUAUUCCUGUACUACAUAUCAACAAAUGUUUGAUGGUUUGUCUGGUUCAUCUCUUAACACUAUGAAGAUGGCUGCACUAAUCUUAACAAGCAAACAUUCUGUUGCCAACAGUACCAAUUUGUCAUCCUAUCCAAGCAACUACUAUUCCUUGGUAAUCUGCUAUCAGAUGAUUACAGUUUUCUCUUUGGCAUUUGUAUGAAUUAAAGCUUUCAAAGCCAAACCUUAGAUUUGGUUAGCAUAACCCUGAACUGCAUAUCAACAAAUGUCUAAUGGUCUGUCUGGUUCAUUUCUCAAGACUAUGAAGAUGGCUACACAGGUAUCAGCUAUCAGCAGUGCACCCCUAUGAUACACAAGUCUUCAUUGCCAAGUCACUCUGCCAAACAGUGUGUACACCUUUCUUGCAUUGGUAGUGACCCACUUUACUGUCAUGAGUCUGGAUAUGUCAGGCCAAGGAGAUCAAGUUUGUGUCCAAGGUUACUUAGUUAAUUCUCUAAGAACAAUAGACAGACUCUACAUGCUACUGAUCUGGAGGUUAGUGGCUCAAUCAUUGUGCACUGAUUCUUCACUGAUGCCUUGAUUCCCCACUGUCAACUUUAUUGUCAUAAAGUUUAUCUAGUGAUCUACAUAUCAAGACUAAAUGGUCAAUUAAACAUGAGGUCAAGGAAAAAGGAUGAACAUUUCAAGGCUACUGAAGGAACAUUAAACGUCUCUCUCACUGUGAAAAGAUUCUACCGAUCUACAAAUGAUCAACAUGUUUUAUCUUAAGUUCGUCUGCCAUUUCUUCAAAUGGAGCCAUAUUAAGAAUAAGAUUCUUUUUGUUCUUCCUUAGGUUCAAAUGUAUCAGUUGUUUUUGUUGACAGAUAUCAAGUCAUUUCAGUUCUCAAUUAUUUUGUGCACCAAGUUACAAGAAAAAAUUUAAGCAAGAGAGGUCACUACACUAAGACUUUGUCUUCUCAUAAGAAAGGAUGGCUGCCUGGUCAUGUGAUAUGUGCACUGGACUGUGUAUGGUCAUCUUGAUGCUCAUAUCUUGCCUGAUGACAUUUAUUCUGCUGAACAUUUGGUCAAGGAAGUAGAUUCUCUUCAGCUCUCAAGAAACAUUCAAAACAUGUCAAACAUUCGACAAGAAUAUCAAGUGCAAUGUACAUACCAACAUGAUGAAAAGGUAGACAACAUGAAGCUGUAGACCAACAUGAUGAAGAUGUAGACCAACAUGAAGAGGUAGACCAGCAUGAUGAAGAUGUAGACCAACAUGAUGAAGAUGUAGACCAACAUGAAGAUGAAAUGUAAACCAAAAAAUGGGUCAAGAGAUGUAUGGAAUACAAUGUGAACAUCUUGAGAAGUAAAACAAUUCUUAGAGGCAAAGACACAGACACACCGGAUCUAUUAGAGAUUUUCCUUUUCUACCAUCAUUUAGAGACUUCCUUGUGCUCUAAGGGAAUAUGUCAUUAACUUUUGAUUGCUAAUUGGCAUUGAUGUUUUUACAUUCCUACUGCGUCUGAAAGAAAUUAACAUUUCCCUAAUGCUACUUCAAAACCAGACCUUCUCAAGACAAUUUUAGUGACCAAGCUGCAAUAUGGGACUCAGUAGGAAACAAUGAAGAAUGCUCCUAACCUCAGGUUGAGUAACCAUGCUCACCUACUAGAGUGGCGACAAAUACUUCUACACCCACAGUUAUACAUCCUGAACCCUGUAACCCAACCUCACAACAUGGUUACAUUACCGGAAGUGGUCGCAAGGUCAGAAAACCUAACAGAUACAAUGGAUAGAACAAUGAACAGGUACAAGUACUCAAGUGAUGUACUUUGUGAGAACUAUUUAGGUGGAAUCACCAUAAUUGACUUGUAUAAAUCUUGUUCUAUAUUUAGGUAUAUCUUGACAAUCAGUCCAGUCAUUUGUUCAUUUUUUUUUUAAAUAUUCCUUUUUUUUCCCUCAAUCUUCUUGUUGUUUCAGUUACAUGUUUUUGUAUUUUGAAGGAGGAAGGUGCUAUGGUAUAUUAUCGUUAUUAUUAUUGUACCAGUAUUAAGCAAACUUGUAUAUCUUUAAUUAUUCAUGAAUUCUAAAGAAGAACGUCACUUCCACCGGAAAAUGUUGUAACAACUAUACGUGUCUUCAGUUAACAUUCAAUACUCUGUACAGUCACAACGCCAAAGCCUUGCUAGAUUAUGCUUUUAAUUCAAUUUGUUAUCUCCCCUGCUUUAGUGUGCUAUCAUAUAAUUUUUUGUGUCACAUCCCUGCACAAUUUGUUCUAUGCUUUUUUACAGUAUAAAUAGCGACUUGACAUUAUUUAGCUCUAUUAUAAUAUUGUUAUAUUAUUAUAUUUAAAAUAAAACUGUUAACAUAUUCUAUGCUGUUAUAAUAUAAAUGUUUUGCUGUUACCAUGAAUACAGUUUUGAGUUUUUGUCUGAUAUCUUAGAGGAGAAAUUUUCCAUAAAUAAUAAUAAUAAGGCUUAUCUUCAAGUCCGAAGAUUAGUGAGAAGUAUGCAGUAUUCCCCAGCUAGGACCUACAUAUUUUGCUAUAAAUAAAGAGUAUAAUAAUAUUUACUACUUGGUAUUGUCAGUCUUCACUAAAGCAAUGAGUUUAUCCCCUUAGUGUGUUUAAAAUUUUCAAAUACUAAUUCACUUUGUAUUAUCUAUUGGUGAUCAUGGGGUAUCCACUUUGUCAUCUCCAUAGUCUCUGGUGUUAACACUCACUGUCCUGUUGGAGGUUACGGCUAGGAUGUAAUCUCUCUUUCUGAUGGAACACAUGUAAAACCAACAAAACAAACAUUAGACCUAGACUUUAUUAACAGGUAAAUUUUUAUAAUUGUGAACUGGCGCUCCCAAAGCUACUUUUAUGUAUUUUAAAUUUUACUUCUGUAGGCUAGUGCUAAGCUGUGUACUUGUAUUUCUGCCUAUUAUAUGGGUUAGGGUGGAGUACUUAAAAUAGAGCCUAUGCUGUUUCCUGUACUGUUGACCAGUGGUCUCUGUGUCAGUUUUAAUUAUUCUGUACCUGGGACUGCCUGUAAGUUUCAGAAUUUUUCUUUUAUUUUUUAAAAUUUUACUAUGUGUAAAUCUGUUUUAUAUUUGAACAACUGUCAAAAUAACUAGCAGUUUUUUUUUUCUAAAGUUUGUUUUAAAAAUAUGGCCAAGCCCUGCCCAGUGCUGUCAUGAUGGCCACUUCUAAUGUUUAUGUACUAGAUUGUAACUGCUGCCUUAGUCAUUGAAAUUAAAGUCUCAUUUGAAUUUC